GGCUGUUGUUGCUGGAGGAAUCGGAGUAGGGGGAAUCAUGCACAGUGACACAGCUGAUGACGUUCUUCCUUUGCUUGGACAAGGUGCUGGUGGGUGCAUGCUUCUGCUCCUCCUCUUCAUCGGUGUCGCUGCUGAUAGUGAUGACGCUCACAGCGGGGCUGGGGGUGUCGGGAAUGAUUAUGGGCUGCCGCUGCCGCUCCCGCGUGGUGCUGGUGGCCA
This 219-nucleotide long non-coding RNA is filed under the name Gallus gallus (chicken). Lineage: Eukaryota; Metazoa; Chordata; Aves; Galliformes; Phasianidae. The record is from RNAcentral.